CGACCAUGUGCGCCAAUUUCAAGCCUAUCUGCUAGAAAUUUGAUCUCUUCUGUCACGAUGGUUACAAAAUGCUGAUAGAGAUGUAUCUGCCGAAAUUAACAUUAAUCGUUGAUUUACGAGCACUGUUUUCUCAAGUAGCGGGCAGUUUGCGUGGGCCAAGUACAAUGUACUUGCACUUCCAACGGCCAAUUAAGAGAGACAGAGGAUGUUCAAAGUUCAAAAGAAGAACGCAGUUUACUGCUUUUCUUUAAAAAAAAGUUUGAUCAAUGCAUUGCUAGGUGCAAAUUUUAAUAACGAGCCUUAAUUUCCAAUGUAGUUGUUUAAAUUAAAUUCAAGCAGUUUAAAUUCUCCAGUGUGCCGCCCAAAAUAGAAAGUGGUUAGAGAGUCUGACUGCCGUACUGAAGGGUCCAUGUUUGAAUCCCGGAUAAUAACUAAGUUUAAGUUGUUUGUCCCUUCAUAGGAGGUAACGGUGGACUCCAUAUUAGCUAUAUCCAUACUACAGUGACCGACGCUUCCGGCCUUAGCAGUGGUCAACGCCUGUAAAAGGUUAAGAUCCGCCAUUGGACCAAAAAAUAAUUAUAGAUUUGCCUCAUUGGUUAAAUGGCUGAAACGCACCAAAAAUUGUCCUACGCGUUUUAGUUUCAAUCAUCAUUUCAGUUUUCUAGAAAGAUUUAAAUGCUUCAGAAAAUUGUAAUAAAUUGCUUCUGUUAUUUUAUGCAAGUUCCAAUAAUACUAGGAAAAUGCAAUACAUUAUUUUGAAAUGUUUACUUUUUUAUUCUAAAUAACAGUUGCGAUACUUGUUUAUCUGUUUAUACUUAAAA
This 821-nucleotide long non-coding RNA is filed under the name Stegodyphus dumicola. RNAcentral's name for it is "uncharacterized LOC118190619, transcript variant X1". The record is from RNAcentral. Lineage: Eukaryota; Metazoa; Arthropoda; Arachnida; Araneae; Eresidae.